AACGCGGAGAACAAAAUUUUCAUUCUCCACACUUAAUAUUUUUUCAACACACUUAACUUUCACACAAUUGAAAACUGGCGACCCAUUUUCUCUCUUGCUAUUCCCCGAACCCUAGCCCUCUCCUCCUUCCUCUCUCACUCUCUUUCCACGGCCACCACUGAUUCCCUCUCCUCCACUCACUCCCGCUACUAUCUCUCUCUCUCUCUCAUUCACCGCCUCCGCCCCCUUGCCGGCGCCAUCACCUCCACAACCAAGCUCUCUCUCUCUCUCUCUCUCUCUCAGAUCUCGGAAGACUGAAAGAAGGUAAAGAAUCCUUCUCUCAAUCUCUCUCUCGAAUUGGGGAAAUCGAUUGUUUCUAUGAACCAAGACAACAUCCCAGGGGUGACCGGCACCGUUCUGUCAAAGAAAUCUCAGGCGCUGCGCAAUUGAUUAUCAGUAAUUGUAGUUCGAACGCACCGUUUUGAUUCGCAGCAGUCAAUUUGAAGGUAUUGGAGUUCGAUUCGCAGCAGGCCAUUUGAAGGUUUCCCUUCUUGGUGGAGCAUUCUGCGCAUGUACUAGGCAUUUCUUUUAUAACACCGAAUCUCUUGAGACACCUUAGAAACAACUGGUGCUUCGAUGUGGUGCGAGGCAUUGCAGCUAUUAGCUGAGGAUUAAAGCAGAAAGCAAAAUUGAAGGUCAGUAAAAUUUCAAUGAAUGUUGAGCAGUUACAGCUAAAUGUAUAAUAUGGUCAAUUUCUUUAUAAUUGGUUUGCUCUUCAUUAUCAAAUGAUUAAUAUUUUUAGGCUUUUAGGCUAUGGGCUUCAUUUGAUGUGAUAUUGGAGGUUGCAUAUGAAUUUGAAGGUUGCAUAUAUUCAAGAAGCUAAGAGAGCCAAGUUUUUUGACACUCAGAGGGAUAGGUUAUACUGGAAACGAAAAGAAGAGGUUUAGUUUUGAAUUUCAUUAAGCUUUUUUGUUGUUUAGUUAAAAAAAAAAAAAAAUUUCUCCGAGUUUGAUCGUCACAGACCCCAUCCAAAACUAAUCUUUAGACCAUAAUUGAUAUCAUCCCAAAACUAAUCUUUAGACCAUAAUUGAUAUCAUCUUCAGUUGUCUAGAGCCUUAUCACAAAAAAGUAGAGCUACCAAGUCUCAGCAGGCUGUUGCAAAGGUAAUUCUACUUCUUCUUGCCUAUGUUGUUUUGUAAUGGCUAUUUUUAUGACAGUAUGAAUGCACAUCUUUCUUUCUAUAGCAUUUGGAACCACAAAGCCGCUGAUAAUGAGUUGAUGGAACUGGUACUCUUAAUAGUGGAGUCAUUAGAAUGAGCAUAGCACUUCUAGUACGCUUUAUAUUGUGAAAGGUUAGACUAGAGGGCCUCAUCUGGUUUUUAAUCGCGCACAACCUGAGUUCAACAUAAAAUCUAAGUUCUAAGUGAAUUCUACACCCUAAAGAGAGCAACCGGUUAAUAGCAAUAGGUAAUAAUUGGCUGCCAAGAAAGGAAUUCUGUCUGUACAUAUGAGACAACCUACUGAGAACUUAAGUUGAGAAAACCAUAUAAGAGGGGACUAAGAUGCAUCUAUCUAGUUGUGAGUAUCACCAAUUCACAUUUUAUCUAAUCAUGAUAUGUAAGUCCUCAAGUUAGGCUCUUAUUAGAAUGCCGACACCAAUUCACAUUCAAUCUCAUCAUGAUAUGUAAGUCCUCAAGUUAUUGGUUAGUGUUUUAAUUUUCUCCUGUAAUACAUAUGGUAACAUUAGUUUGUGUACUUGGGGUUCUUGUAUAAGUAUAAAAUUUGUUGGUCGGUGUUUGAAGUAGAUAUUGAAUCAGUAGUGAAGUAAAUGGUACUGCUUUGUUUCUAAAUACAUAUAAUAACAUGUUUUUGUUUCUUUAUUUUGUUUUUACUCUUAUAGUUAUUUGAUUGUUUUAUUAUGCUUGAUUACAGGUAUCAGAAGUGAGCUCCCGUUUGGGCAGGGCUGGUACUGUGGGACUUGGGAAGGCUGUGGAAGUUUUGGACACCCUUGGCAGUAGCAUAAUUUAAGGCAUUGCAGUUGGGACAAGACUCGGAACUUCUUCGGUUGUCUUUGAAAAUCUGGAAUUAGUGUGCAGUAAGAAGAAAACAGAAGGAAGCUUGGUGUUGUUGAGUUUAUUCUUUUGAGGAACCAUCUGAGAAUUUCAAAGGCAAGGGUUGUGAACGUUUGUUAUGUGAAAUUGGAACUGUACUUUUUGAAUUAGCAACUAUCUAGGAAAUGUUUCUGUUAUCUUUGUUCUGCUUGCUCUCCUAAAGAUGCAAAAAUGUAUAUGCGCGGGGAUCAUGUGGCAUUAGGACAGGGGGGUGCCAAUCCAGUUUCUCAACUCAACUUCUAGGCAAUACUUUUUUCUGUCACUAAAUUCAUGAUUUCAGUUUGAUUGAGUUAAUUUAUAUCAUUGCCUAUCAUCUGUUCAGAAUGUUAAAGUGUUGCAUAGAGACACCAUAUUGGCUUUUCAAAUCUCUUAAUUAUAUCUCGGCAUAAUUUUUGUUAUUAUUUUGAUUCAUCCUUCAAUAUUGAUUUCAGCUGAGCUUUGUUUUCUUUACAAUUGGACAUCCCAAGACUUUCUCCAACUUGACAUUUCAGUUGAGCUUUGUUUUCUUUAGAAUUGGACAUUCCAACUUGACGAGGUGCGCAUUGAGGUGAUUGACUGUUUGCAGACUUUGCUAUUGAUGCUGACUAGCAAAGUGAUUUUGAGUAAGGCUAGCUAGAUUUUUUGUGAACCAUUUGGGAGUAGUUGUACUGUUGCAGCAACUGUGAACAAAACUUCAUGUACACUUAUUGCAGUGGUAUGUUUUAGGCUAGCCUUGAAGUAGGUUGGGGUAUUUUUGCCUAUUUUUUGAACUAUUAACAUCUUUGAUGUUGGAUACAAAUUAAUGCAAUGCCUCAUA
Long non-coding RNA from Rosa rugosa (rugosa rose), 2886 nucleotides. RefSeq lists it as uncharacterized. The record is from RefSeq and is a predicted model, not a curated record. Lineage: Eukaryota; Viridiplantae; Streptophyta; Magnoliopsida; Rosales; Rosaceae. The transcript is spliced from 7 exons.